This 467-nucleotide ribosomal RNA is filed under the name uncultured bacterium. Its description in RNAcentral is "bacterial SSU rRNA". It matches the Rfam family "Bacterial small subunit ribosomal RNA", at positions 338 to 795 of the family's 1533-position model. The record is from RNAcentral.
CCUANGGGUGGCAGCAGUGGGGAAUCUUGCGCAAUGGGGGAAACCCUGACGCAGCAACGCCGCGUGAGCGAUGAAGGCUUUCGGGUCGUAAAGCUCUGUUAGGUGGAAAGAAUUUUUCCCAAUUCAAUAAAUUGGGAAAUUGACGGUACCAUCAGAGGAAGCACCGGCUAACUCCGUGCCAGCAGCCGCGGUAAUACGGAGGGUGCAAGCGUUGUUCGGAAUCAUUGGGCGUAAAGAGCGUGUAGGUGGUUAAAUAAGUCAGAUGUGAAAUCCCUUGGCUCAACCAAGGAAGUGCAUCUGAAACUGUUUAGCUUGAGUACGGGAGGGGAAUGGCGGAAUUCCCAGUGUAGAGGUGAAAUUCAUAGAUAUUGGGAGGAACACCAGUGGCGAAGGCGGCCUUCUAGCCCGAUACUGACACUGAGACGCGAAAGCGUGGGGAGCAAACAGGAUUAGAUACCCCUNUANUC